RNAcentral lists this long non-coding RNA (330 nucleotides) under Anas platyrhynchos platyrhynchos (common mallard). RNAcentral describes it as "lncRNA (ENSAPLG00000030651.1)". Lineage: Eukaryota; Metazoa; Chordata; Aves; Anseriformes; Anatidae. The record is from RNAcentral.
AUGAAAAGAUCAAGGGGCUGCAUCUGCGAAGUCCCAACAGGAACAGAGUUGGGUGUCUUACGGUUAUUGACAAAAGAAUCCAAAUGUGAAGCAAAUUGUGCUCGGAUGCUUCAAAGCCAGAAGGCAACGGAAAGAGACAGAACUUCUCUGCUAAGGUUUCUUCAGCUGGCUGCCCUGCACGUCCCUUCUGUGGCUCAGGCGUGUGCUUGGUACAUGCCGAGGUUUUCUUCCCCAUCCCCUGGAAGUUUCUCCAUGCCACGGGACACAGGCAAAGAGCAAACGUGUGUGUUGUUAUUGCAAGAGACAACUGCAGUCCCAGACGGAGGGUGA